CCACACUUCUGCAGAUGCACCAUGCGCUCUCACGGAGGGAAUUAAACUGCAGCGCAUCUCGUGUUAUCAGGAUUUGUAUGUCUAACAAAUGUAAAAGAUAAAGAGCUUCUUGUCCCCAGCAGGACAAAUGGAUUGUUGUGAUGGGACAGACUCUCCCAUGAGGAAACAAUGAAACAGUCAUGUGUGCAGAGCUGGAAUGUCAGUGAGAACAUUUCAUUCAGGUCAGGGUUUCUACAUAAUCACUGCAUUAAACCUCAGACCUUUUCCUUUCCAUGCAGUAGUUUAAAGCAGGAACUAUAGAGCCAGUAACAUAUUUAUUAAAUGUGCCUUUAGCAUAAAUAAGAUCAAGGUGGCAUCCAGAAUUGAACCAAAAACCUCUUGAUAUGCAGUCAAAUGCUCUACGUCUGAGCUCUACCCUACGUGUCCCCAGCCCUGUGCAAGCCCAUCACACAGUGCGGGUUACAGCGAGCCUGAAGGCAGCACUUUUGUAAUCAUACAGAGAAGAGGAAACACAAAGAGCUCCAAUCCUGACAUCUCUUCUCUUAGUGCUAUUAAAAGUAUCACAGAGCCAUAGCAUGCCCUCACUGCAGGAUUCAAUAAUUCAUUUUUUUGUCCAUUUUGCCCAAAGUCCUUACAUCUAAUUUUCCAAAAAAAGAAAAAAAAAACCUGUUGCUCUUCUCAUAUCACAAUUACAACUCAAAUCCUGUUUUCCCUCAAUUUGAGAUUUUUUUAGAAUCUACAUUUCACAAUAUUUUUUCAUCCUUUUAAAAUGAGAUCUAACGUCUUUGCUUCAGACGUCCCAAACAGAGUUCCAUCAAGACCCUCAGUGCAUGAACGGAGAGGGAGACUCAGCAGUCACCCUCUCCAAUCAUGCUAUAGGGACUCUUAUUUAUGGUCCAGGGGCAACGUUUGAGUUUGUCGAGAAAUUUUUAUAAUUUGGCUUUUUCUUAGUCAUUCAUCUUGUUUGUAAAUGCACGUGCGUGGUGUACAAACAUAUGCAAGAACCUAAGCUCGUGUGACUGUAUUUAGUUUGGGAUAUUCUCAUUACUGCGUAGAAUUUAUCUAAAUUGUGAAGCAUUUUUUUAACCGUAUGUUAAAAAAAAGUGAUAAUGACACUAUAAUGAGCAUCAGUUUUCCUAAAAACUCACUACAAAUGUUUGAUUUCAGAUAUUCACUGCUGGAGGAUGGUGUCUGUCAGUAUUGCAGAUCUGUGGGGAAAAGCUGAAGAUCAGGUUUUAAAAUGUUUUGUAGGGCGGAUAGCCUCCUUGUGACCUUAUCUUGAAUUUGUGAUAGCCACGGGCUUUGUUAGUCAAAGUAUUUCACCCAUUACAUUUGUCUAAAUGGAAAAAUGUCUAAAUCUGCUCUUACAUAAGAAGUGGUUUCCAGAAAUUUUGUGACUGGCUGACAACUUAGUUUUAAUCAGAUGUAAAUUUAUUUGUAUUUCUUUGUACAAAGUGCAGAUGGUUAAAUGUUCAGGAUUUCUUUAAGUAUGAAAACAUGCCAAUAAAAACAAACUGGACUGAACGGUCUGACCAGUAAAGUUUGAUUUUGUCGGUUUGCGUACAGAAACCUCCUCAGCGGAAAAGCUUCUGCAGUAUAGGUUUAAGCUGGGCAAAA
Molecule: long non-coding RNA, 1617 nt
Organism: Oreochromis niloticus (Nile tilapia)
Lineage: Eukaryota; Metazoa; Chordata; Actinopteri; Cichliformes; Cichlidae
Exons: 2
Source: RefSeq, a predicted model, not a curated record